RNAcentral lists this ribosomal RNA (857 nucleotides) under Reticulitermes flaviceps. Its description in RNAcentral is "eukaryotic LSU rRNA". The stretch from base 388 to 543 matches the Rfam family "5.8S ribosomal RNA". Lineage: Eukaryota; Metazoa; Arthropoda; Insecta; Blattodea; Rhinotermitidae. The record is from RNAcentral.
ACUGAGGGGCGAGACCACCCGCCCGUUCGCGGGCGGAGUGGGCACGCCUCGCACGCCACCGGCACUUGUGCCGGCAAGCGGUUGUUCAGUGACGGUUGGUCGCCAUGAGAACACUCCGCGCGGCGUGACGGGCGUCAGAGCCCCCGAGAAAUCGAACGAACUGACGGAAGGACGAAGCCGAUCUCGCAGGCGGCAGGCCGUGGUACCCAUGAUGGUUUAAAGGCCCCUAGCUGGGUCGCCAACGGCCUCCGACCUUGGUGAGCGGCUCCUUGAACGGUGAUGCGGGGCGCGGUCUGGCGUGACCUCCCUUGUGGUCGCACGCCGCGCGCCUCGCGAAACAAAGGACGGACCUGUCCGAAGGUGUCAUGUGAAUGGCUUGUAACGCACAACCCUGAACGGUGGAUCACUCGGCUCGUGGGUCGAUGAAGAACGCAGCAAAUUGCGCGUCGACAUGUGAACUGCAGGACACAUGAACAUCGACGUUUCGAACGCACAUUGCGGUCCUUGGAUUUCCAAUCCCGGACCACGCCUGGCUGAGGGUCGGCAUUCUGAAACCACUGGGCCCGCCGCGUACGGCUGCGGGCCCGAAGCUGAGGGCACUCCCGCUCACCUUCCCCGGUGGGAUCGGGCGACGCUCUUGAAGACUGCAAUAGCGCUGUUGUGUGGGCUACCGCGCCCUCCGGCGCCCGGCUUGAGAGGGGUCAAUUCUUGAACGAGACAGGAGCCGGGCGCGAGAGUGUACGAGAGAGAGAUCUCUCUGUACUAGCGAGGGCACUAGCGGCCGCUCCACACAAACACAGUAGCUUUUACACUCUACAUCCGACCUCAGAUCAGGCGAGACUACCCGCUGAAUUUAA